GGGUUCUCUCAGAUGAGGGAGCCUGAAAAUUUCAUCAUUGUAAACAAAUUAAUUUGCUGAACAGUUUAUCACUUAUAACAUUAACACUUGAACGGAUGGAGUGGCUAAGUAGAUUAAGAUGGAUUGUUAACACUUACUGUUCAGAAGCAAGGUCGACAUUAAUCUCAUGCUCUUGCCCAGCGAUUUUCCUGUCGGGCGUGUCGGCGUCCGUUACCUUAGACGCAAAACAUUUUUUCAAUAGGUAUGUAACCAAUAUGGAAAUAUGGAUGAAUAAUGAAAUUUACUAAUUAGUAAAAAUAUAACUUCAGGAAGCCAAGGCAGCCGGUGGAGCCCGGCAGCUGUGGCCGCCACCAGGCGCCAGCCACGCGGCUUACGGAAACAAGAUACGAUUUAACAAA
This is a long non-coding RNA of Adelges cooleyi (spruce gall adelgid), 398 nucleotides long. RefSeq lists it as uncharacterized. The record is from RefSeq and is a predicted model, not a curated record. The transcript has 2 exons. NCBI's taxonomy places the organism in Eukaryota, Metazoa, Arthropoda, Insecta, Hemiptera, Adelgidae.